UCUGGUGUUCCCACUCCCCUUGCCUCUCUUUCUUCUAUGGAUUUCUACGUAGUGGCACUUUCCAUGUUGGUGUCCAUCUAAUCUACACCUUGAUAAUGUGCCCUUCAGAACUCCUUCUCCAUGCAUUAAAUCCAUCACAACUACUCCCUCGCUUUUCCUCAAAGUUAUGGAUAUUGCUAAAGGGCAGAUAGAUCCCUUUUAUAUUAGAAAAAAAAAUUACUGUUUUUUUUUAGAGGCUGCAGUUUUCUUGUUGAAUGUCAAUUGCUAUUUCGUUGUCUAUAAUACAUCAUUAACACAGUUUGAACCUUGAUAUAGUAGGAUACAUGGUACUAUGUUAUAUCACCACAAUACCCACCAAUAUUGGACGAAUCUUAGAAUUUGUUGAAGACAUCCAAACAUGAUCUGUUAUGCCACAUGUGUUAUCAAGGAUAUGUGGACGAAAACAUCAGCUGAUAUACAGUUUUCUUUACAUGCUAACGCCAUUUCGAUUGGCAUUGGUACAUAAGUUAUUGUGGAUUCAUGGUUUAUAUUACAGCGAAUACUAAUGUUAGGGCAUUUUCAACGCCGUGCAUCAAACCACCCGUAAACGCGGUCCGGGCACUUUGUGCCAUCCAACGCCGUGCAUCAAACGUCCACGGGCCGGCCCGCACGUCCGAAAUCCUACAAACCAGACGCAAAGUGCGGUGAGGUUUGCGGUCGUCAGGACACCUGCCAUGUAGAUGUCCGACACCCACGGCCCACACAGAACUCUCUCUCUCGUUCCGCUUCUACCGCUAGUCCGCUCUUCGCGCCACAUUCAUGCCGGUUCUAGAUUGGACUUUGACCGGCCAUUGGCGCAUGCCUGGCCAAACAACAUGGCAUUCACACUGGUGUAACGGUCAAGGCGCCUGCUCCAGCCUGCCGCUCACGCCACGUGUGCUUGCUCUCGGCGCCGCGGUAAUGCCUGUUCAAAGCAUACAUGACCGGACAGGGCGGCUUCCUACCGCAUUCAAGCGGACUGACCGUCCGUCCGCCUGGCACUCACGCAGUCGCGGUGAAUUAGGUAUGGCCAAUGCAUAGCCCCAGGGUGAUGCCCCGUGUGCCAUGUAGGAUCGGAUGUCAGGAAAAGUAGGUUUGGAUGGGGAAGCGGGAUCCUCUGCAGGAGGCGGAUGCUUGAGGAGAAAAAGUGUGGUUUGGUGUAAAAAGCUAAAAAGUUGAAGUGGAGAGUAGAGAUGCAUGUGUACUAAAGUCUCUAUUUCUUUUCGUUGAUGAGGCCCACUAGUAGUAGCUUGUGUUUGGGAGAAAAAAUCAAUGUAGUUGCCUCAACCUACUUUUUCUCAUGGGGCAUAUGCAUCCAUAUGCCACCAUUGUACAUGCCCUUAGAGGUCGUCGCUACGCCUGCCUGACGCAUUCAAGUCGUCGUCGCCUGCCUAGACGCCCGCUAUUUAAAGAGCGCAGACCACGACACAAACCCGCACCACCUCCGAGCCCCAUCACACUCCAUCUUACCUCAGCUGGCGCACCACCUCUUCCUCUGAGCCUCAUCUCCUUCUUCGACCUCCAGACCAAUGGCCGAGCCCAGUCGUGGGUGGUUGAAGACCCUUUCGCCGCGACGCCGCCAUGAUGUCGGCGCCCGCAUUAUGACGGGCGAGCCACCGAGCUUCUUCUUCGGAGGAGAGCUCGGACGAUGUGGCCAUGGAGGACGCAGAGUAGCGUCGGCUGCCAGGUUCACCUUGUAGUAGGUGGAGGCACAAUACAACUCUAUCAUGGCGGAGGCGGAGCUGGAGGAGCAGGCGACGCUGGUCUCCGUGUUUUGGAUGUUGCAGGAGCGGUACAACCUGCAAAUCCUUGAGCGCCACCAGCUUGUGGAGGGCUAGAUCAUCGGCGAGCAGGCGAGCGAGGAGGCCAUCACGAUCAUGCUCGUAGAGAAUCCGGGGACCAUGGAUGAGCAGCGAGCAUUGUACGAUUCCAUGCGCGGCGCAUGUGCCAUUUUGCCGUUUGAGGAGAUUGCGGCGGAGGCGGAGCGCGACCGCCUGUUUGAGGAGAUUGUGGCGGAGGCGGAUGCGAACACUGCCAACGUUGGUAGCUCCGCGUCGUUCGUGUCGGGUCGCAAGGACCACGAGGCUGGACCGUCCACGGCCAGGCGGUAGACUCCGACUAGUAGGACGUGGAGACGGACGUGCCCUCAUCUGGCACAAAGUAGGACGUGGAACACAAACAUGCCCACGACCAGCAAAGAGUAGGCUAGGGUCGGUUUAUUUUUUUCCCAUGUUAUAAAAAAUCCUAAAUACUAAUGAAAAUUCCGUGUCCGCUUUUGUUUGGUGCACCGGGUUGGAUGGUCGGCUCCCCUAAAGCUGUCAGCGGUCCACGCCCGGGCGUGUCCACGUACAUUUGGUAUGUACAUUUUGAAUUUUUGAUGUAUGGCAUUGGGGAUGCCCUUAUCUUUAACAUAAUGGCUCUACGCCCUCCUCUCACUGCACCAAAUCCAAAGAUAUGAAUGAUCUUCCACCAGCUUGUGGCUUGGCUUAUGAUAUGACUUACAAUGGAGUGGAGGCACUCGUUUCUCUUUUGAAAUCGGAGGAGGCAGUUUGAGGAUCUACAAAACUGAUGUUCAACAAAGGAUUUUUUAGAUCAUCGGUAUCUCACCUGAACAGGAGGUGUUGCCUAUGGGUUAAAGAUCAGAUUGUGAAUGUGAUAAUUUUCCCAAAGACCCGCUCAAUGUUGGCUCACCAAAGCACCGUCCCUAUGGAACCCGAGCAAUUGAAAACUCACCUUCUAUUGUAAUCGUGCCCGAAAACUACCCAUGUGAAUACAGUUUUCUAAGUACUCCCUCCGUUCUAAA
This is a long non-coding RNA of Aegilops tauschii subsp. strangulata, 2821 nucleotides long. RefSeq lists it as uncharacterized. NCBI's taxonomy places the organism in Eukaryota, Viridiplantae, Streptophyta, Magnoliopsida, Poales, Poaceae. The record is from RefSeq and is a predicted model, not a curated record.